GGAUGAACGCUAGCGACAGGCUUAACACAUGCAAGUCGAGGGGCAGCGGGGGUGAUGGCUUGCCAUCACCUGCCGGCGACUGGCGCACGGGUGAGUAACACGUAUGCAACCUGCCCGCCACAGGGGGAUAAGCGGAAGAAAUUCCGUCUAAUACCGCGUGACGCGGCGCCGGGGCAUCCCGGUGCCGCCAAAGGGAUUACCGGUGGCGGAUGGGCAUGCGGCGCAUUAGCUAGUCGGCGGGGUAACGGCCCACCGAGGCGACGAUGCGUAGGGGUUCUGAGAGGAGGGUCCCCCACACUGGUACUGAGACACGGACCAGACUCCUACGGGAGGCAGCAGUGAGGAAUAUUGGUCAAUGGGCGUGAGCCUGAACCAGCCAAGUCGCGUGAGGGAUGACGGUCCUACGGAUUGUAAACCUCUUUUGCCGGGGAGCAAGCGUGCGUUCGUGAACGCGCGUCGAGAGUACCCGGAGAAAAAGCAUCGGCUAACUCCGUGCCAGCAGCCGCGGUAAUACGGAGGAUGCGAGCGUUAUCCGGAUUUAUUGGGUUUAAAGGGUGCGUAGGCGGGAUGCCAAGUCAGCGGUAAAAAUGCGGUGCUCAACGCCGUCGAGCCGUUGAAACUGGCGUUCUUGAGUGGGCGAGAAGUAUGCGGAAUGCGUGGUGUAGCGGUGAAAUGCAUAGAUAUCACGCAGAACUCCGAUUGCGAAGGCAGCAUACCGGCGCCCUACUGACGCUGAGGCACGAAAGCGUGGGUAUCGAACAGGAUUAGAUACCCUGGUAGUCCACGCAGUAAACGAUGAAUGCUAACUGUCCGGCUCGAAUGAGCGCUGGGCGGUACAGCGAAAGCGUUAAGCAUUCCACCUGGGGAGUACGCCGGCAACGGUGAAACUCAAAGGAAUUGACGGGGGCCCGCACAAGCGGAGGAACAUGUGGUUUAAUUCGAUGAUACGCGAGGAACCUUACCCGGGCUCAAACGCAGGAUGACGGGUCCCGAAAGGGGUCUUUCUUCGGACAUUCUGCGAGGUGCUGCAUGGUUGUCGUCAGCUCGUGCCGUGAGGUGUCGGCUUAAGUGCCAUAACGAGCGCAACCCCUGUCCACAGUUGCCAGCAGGUAAAGCUGGGGACUCUGUGGAGACUGCCGGCGCAAGCUGCGAGGAAGGCGGGGAUGACGUCAAAUCAGCACGGCCCUUACGUCCGGGGCGACACACGUGUUACAAUGGCAGGUACAGCGGGAUGCCACGGGGCGACCCGGCGCUGAACCCGAAAACCUGUCUCAGUUCGGAUUGGAGUCUGCAACCCGACUCCAUGAAGCUGGAUUCGCUAGUAAUCGCGCAUCAGCCACGGCGCGGUGAAUACGUUCCCGGGCCUUGUACACACCGCCCGUCAAGCCAUGGAAGCCGGGGGUACCUGAAGUGCGUGACCGCGAGGAGCGCCCUAGGGUAAAAC
Molecule: ribosomal RNA, 1444 nt
Filed under: uncultured bacterium
Lineage: Bacteria
Description: partial 16S ribosomal RNA
Rfam family: Bacterial small subunit ribosomal RNA
Source: RNAcentral